RNAcentral lists this ribosomal RNA (513 nucleotides) under uncultured bacterium. Its description in RNAcentral is "bacterial SSU rRNA". It matches the Rfam family "Bacterial small subunit ribosomal RNA", at positions 29 to 517 of the family's 1533-position model. The record is from RNAcentral.
AACGAACGCUGGCGGCGUGCUUAACACAUGCAAGUCGAGCGGGAAAGUUUCCUUCGGGAAGCGAGUACAGCGGCAGACGGGUGAGUACAACGUAGGUAACCUACCCUCGAGACCGGGAUAACCUGUCGAAAGACGGGCUAAUACCGGAUAAGACCGCAAGGGCUGCGGCCUUUGAGGUAAAAGAUGGCCUCUGCUUGCAAGCUAUCACUUGGGGGAUGGGCCUGCGCGCCAUUAGCAGUUGGUGAGGUAACGGCUCACCAAGGCAAAGAUGGCUAGCUGGUCUGAGAGGAUGGCCAGCCACACUGGGACUGAGACACGGCCCAGACUCCUACGGGAGGCAGCAGUGGGGAAUAUUGGACAAUGGGGCAACCCUGAUCCAGCGACGCCGCGUGGGUGAAGAAGGCCUGCGGGUUGUAAAGCCCUUUCGGGUGGGGAAGAAAAGUCUCGACCUAAUACGUCGGGACCUUGACGUAACCACUAAAGAAGCACCGGCUAACUCUGUGCCACCAGCCG